AACGCACCUUGCGCCCUCUGGCUAUUCCGGAGGGCAUGCCUGUUUGAGUAUCAUGAACACCUCAACUCUCAUGGCUUACCAUGAUGAGCUUGGACUUUGGGGGCUUUUGCUGGCUUGGGGGUCAGCUCCUCUCAAACGAAUCAGCUUGCCAGUGUUUGGUGGCAUCGCAGGUGUGAUAACUGUCUACGCUUGUUGGCAUUCCACCGAGGAACCUUCAGUGAUGGGGGUUCUCUGGGGGCUUAUAAAUGCGUCUCUCCUCAGUGAAGACAGCUCUUUCAAUGUUUGAUCUCAAAUCAGGUAGGACUACCCGCUGAACUUAA
Molecule: unclassified non-coding RNA, 320 nt
Filed under: uncultured Thelephorales
Lineage: Eukaryota; Fungi; Basidiomycota; Agaricomycetes; Thelephorales
Description: sequence contains 5.8S rRNA gene, ITS2, 28S rRNA gene
Source: RNAcentral